GGGUUGUGAGGUUAAGCGACUAAGCGUACACGGUGGAUGCCCUGGCAGUCAGAGGCGAUGAAGGACGUGCUAAUCUGCGAUAAGCGCCGGUAAGGUGAUAUGAACCGUUAUAACCGGCGAUUUCCGAAUGGGGAAACCCAGUGUGAUUCGUCACACUAUCAUUAACUGAAUCCAUAGGUUAAUGAGGCGAACCGGGGGAACUGAAACAUCUAAGUACCCCGAGGAAAAGAAAUCAACCGAGAUUCCCCCAGUAGCGGCGAGCGAACGGGGAGGAGCCCAGAGCCUGAAUCAGCAUGUGUGUUAGUGGAAGCGUCUGGAAAGGCGCGCGAUACAGGGUGACAGCCCCGUACACAAAAGCGCAUGUGCUGUGAGCUCGAUGAGUAGGGCGGGACACGUGGUAUCCUGUCUGAAUAUGGGGGGACCAUCCUCCAAGGCUAAAUACUCCUGACUGACCGAUAGUGAACCAGUACCGUGAGGGAAAGGCGAAAAGAACCCCGGCGAGGGGAGUGAAAAAGAACCUGAAACCGUGUACGUACAAGCAGUGGGAGCACAGGUUUACCUGUGUGACUGCGUACCUUUUGUAUAAUGGGUCAGCGACUUAUAUUCUGUAGCAAGGUUAACCGUAUAGGGGAGCCGUAGGGAAACCGAGUCUUAACCGGGCGUUAAGUUGCAGGGUAUAGACCCGAAACC
This 690-nucleotide ribosomal RNA is filed under the name Salmonella enterica subsp. enterica serovar 4,[5],12:i:-. Its description in RNAcentral is "bacterial LSU rRNA". It matches the Rfam family "Bacterial large subunit ribosomal RNA", at positions 1 to 722 of the family's 2925-position model. Lineage: Bacteria; Pseudomonadati; Pseudomonadota; Gammaproteobacteria; Enterobacterales; Enterobacteriaceae. The record is from RNAcentral.